AGAGCAAUUCCUAUAGAGGACAGGCUCGAUGUAACGAAUAAUGAAAGAUCAUUCUUGAAUAUAAGUAAACCAAGAUCUUCUUCUAUAUAAGAUACAUCAAACCAGAAUUGUAUUUUCAUUUUGGGUUUCUACAAAGAUAGUGGUAAGAAUUAGCUUAAAUCGUUAAAGUUAAAAACGUGCUUUGGGUGGCCUCUUGCAGAUCAACAUUUUAUUUCAAUUUUUAUGGAAAGAAUGGAAAUCAUAAGGUUUAUUGCAGUAAAAUCAUUUAAUAAAUCUGAAACAAAAAAAGAAAAUGGUUAAAUAAUUUAAUUUUGAUA
Molecule: long non-coding RNA, 317 nt
Organism: Apis dorsata (giant honeybee)
Lineage: Eukaryota; Metazoa; Arthropoda; Insecta; Hymenoptera; Apidae
Exons: 4
Source: RefSeq, a predicted model, not a curated record